RNAcentral lists this unclassified non-coding RNA (299 nucleotides) under fungal sp. RNAcentral describes it as "partial internal transcribed spacer region". The stretch from base 1 to 46 matches the Rfam family "Eukaryotic small subunit ribosomal RNA", at positions 1786 to 1831 of the family's 1831-position model. The record is from RNAcentral. Lineage: Eukaryota; Fungi.
AAGUCGUAACAAGGUCUCCGUAGGUGAACCUGCGGAAGGAUCAUUACCAAAGUAUCAUUACUUACCACUUGUGAACAGUUUCAAUGUCCUUGGGGGAGAGAGAAGGACUAACAGUGUGUUAGCACACCUGUCUUUCCUUCCAUCUCCCCCAGCGGGGUGCCCGCUGACUGCUUGCAGUUGGUGGGAUACUCACGCACUACAAACCACAUGUGCAAAGUUAAAACUGGUGUAUGUACCUUCUCUCUUUUUGAGAAAUCAAAAAGAACUGACAACUUUUAACGGUGGAUCUCUUGGCUCGU